GCCGCAGUAUUUUGACUGUGCGAAGGUAGCAUAAUCAAUAGUCUUUUAAUUGGAGGCUUGUAUGAAUGGUUGAAUGAGAUAUAUACUGUCUUUUUUAAAUUUUUAUAGAAUUUUAUUUUUUAAUUAAAAAGUUAAAAUAUAAUUAAAGGACGAGAAGACCCUAUAGAUCUUUAUUUUUGUUAAUUAUAAAUUAAAAAGGAUAAUUAAAUUUAUAAUUUAAUAAAAAAUUUUACUGGGGUGGUAUUAAAAUUUAAUUAACUUUUAUGAUUUAUUUACAUUAAUAUAUGAGUAAUUGAUCCAAUUUUAUUGAUUAAAAAUUUAAGUUACCUUAGGGAUAACAGCGUAAUUUUUUUUUAGAGUUCAUAUCGACAAAAAAGAUUGCGACCUCGAUGUUGGAUUAAU
This 402-nucleotide ribosomal RNA is filed under the name Ochlerotatus eatoni krimbasi (nomen nudum). RNAcentral's name for it is "partial 16S ribosomal RNA". It matches the Rfam family "Bacterial large subunit ribosomal RNA", at positions 1930 to 2541 of the family's 2925-position model. Lineage: Eukaryota; Metazoa; Arthropoda; Insecta; Diptera; Culicidae. The record is from RNAcentral.